AGGGAUCUUUCUGUUUUCCUGCACUGGGUUGGUCCAUCACCUGAACCAGCUGGUUGUAGAUGUCAAUGAACUGACGAGCAGAAACCGGCCCACCAGUGCUGGGACGCUCCAGUAUGUCCACAGGGAACACUCCUCCAACACAGGAAUCCGGGUGGCGGCGAAUACCUCAGACUGCUGUGUGCGCUCCAUGGGCACGUUUCCCUGCAGUAGCAGGGGCUCACUGUACAGCUUUGCCGCUGCCCAAAGUAGAGCGGCUGCCCUCCCCACUUGGGUACAUUUGUUUUCUUUUGACGGAGGAAGAACAACAGGGAGGGCAGUGGAGGUUGGCAGGGGCUCAGUGCAAGACAGCAGACUUCUCUUGAACUGAUUAGUCACCCAAUUCUCUUGGCCUGAAGCCCCAGCGGACAACUUGUCCUGGGCCUCUUCAAGCAGAUCCCUCUGCUGUUCCAACGUACUUUUGAACUCUGGGUAAAGGUCAGGACCUAAAGUGAGCUGCAGGACACGGCUCACUUCUUGCAAGGUGACAUCCAAGUCUGGGAGAGGGUAGUUGAGAAGGGUCAUCCUGUUGAUGUGGAGGAGACUUGAGUGGAAGAAAAGAAAACAAAUUCACUGUUAUUACCUGGGUUUGUAUUGAAAGUGCUCAUUGAUAGAAUUGAAAAUAUAAAGUUGAAAGGAUUCACUCCGUGCAGCAUGUAAAAUGUUAAAUAUAACGGAAAUGACAUUGCAGCGUGUAGGUGGGGCAAGUCUUGAGUGAAUUGGUUAAUGGAGACGACUUUGUGACUUUUGAGUUGAUAUUUUGCCGUGCUUUUAGCCGUGUGAGCGCUGGCAGUGUUAGAAUUUGCCAUGAAUAUUCAAUUGAAUUUAUUUUAUUUUCUCUAGCCCAAAAUCUAUAGCUCUAUGUAUUUUUAUUUUAUUUCGAGGGCGACCUGGCCAAGAAGGCAGCAGCAUGUAUAAAAAUUUGCCUCAUAGGGCUUUACAGUCUGUACACAUACAACAUCCUCUGUCCUGAAACCUUCACAUUGGCACAGCAAAAAAUUCCCCCAAAAAGGAAGAACCCCUCAAUGGGGAUAAAAAAGGGGAGAAACCUGGAUGGACAGACUGCGAUGGAUGUCAUGUGUUGAACAGCUUAAAAGAUGAACGUUACGUUCACCUUUUAUGACAAAUGAUUCAAAUAUAAAUAUGAUGGUCUUAAACCCUAAUCCCCACUGGUUUCUGUGGAUGGUGGUUGUCACUGCACUGGUCCUGCCAUACACUUGUCUUAAUACUCUCAAUAUUUGAAUCAGUUCUGUCAUAGGAAUUUUAUCCUCUCUCUCCAGUUUAUAGACUUUAGGUCAUGUUUAAUUGGGAUCUUUCAACAAGAUCUAUGAUCUUAAGAAGGGAGGAACAGUAAUUACAUUACAUUACAUGUCAUUUAGCUGACGCUUUUAUCCAAAGCGACUUAAGUGCAUUCAACCAUAGGGUACAAACUCAGAAGAACAAGAAACAAGAAAGUGAGGACCUUUUUUUAGAGCUGUCAACAUAAACACAUUAAAUCUAUGGGCCAAGAUUAAUGCAAACAAUAUUAGUUAACAUACUUUUAGUAAUAGUUUUGAAAUACAUUUUAGUCAAAUUUUAAAUUUAAAUUUAAUUUUGAGAUUUGCAAGAAAUAUUUUAAUUGCUGCGUUUUUUAAGGGAAUAUUCAACAAGCUCCUGUUUUUUAAGUAAUUAAAGUAAUUGCAUAAAUAGUCAUGUGAUUAAUUUUGAUUCCAACUUGUAUUUGUUGCCCAGCACUAGUAUAUACUAUUUAUAUAAAUAGUAUAUAUAUAUAUAUAUAUACAUAUUAUCAAUUAUCAACCACUCAAGUGAAGUCCUUUCAUUUCCCCAUUUGUUCUCAGACUCUUCAACAGUGACGCACAAUCACACCCACACAUGCAUGUGCACACACGCAAGUAAAGCAUUUGACCUUUCAUUACCCGUUGAUCCUGCAAUGUCUCUUUUUUGCCCUCAGGCUUCUUCUCAUCGUAGAGCAAUCUCUACUUUCAGUAUUACACACACACAUCCCUGAACACGCACUCACGCACACACACACACGCACGCACACGCACGCACACACACACGCACAUACCAACUCAAGUAAAUAUUUUAGCAUUUAUGCCUUUUCAUUUCUUGGAACUCAGAUUUGCUGUGUUGGCUUUCUUGCCUUCAAACAGCAGCAACAUAUUAUUUAGCAGAAUAUGAUAAAUGUAUCGUGAUGUAUGGUUAAAAUGUCAAGCGCCAGUGGCGACAGGUCCAGCACCUGUCUAACACCUUCUGGGACAGAUGGCGAAAGCAAUAUCUCCCGACACUACAGGCACGUAAGAAGUGGCAUUCCGCUCAUCCAAACAUCAGCCCAGGAAGUGUUGUUAUCCUCAAGGAUAGUCAAGCACCAAGAAAUGAAUGGCCUCUUGGACUGGUAACACAGGCGUUCCCCAGCGAGGACGGGAAGG
Molecule: non-coding RNA, 2465 nt
Organism: Gasterosteus aculeatus aculeatus (three-spined stickleback)
Lineage: Eukaryota; Metazoa; Chordata; Actinopteri; Perciformes; Gasterosteidae
Source: RefSeq, a predicted model, not a curated record